Non-coding RNA from Malus domestica (apple), 770 nucleotides. Lineage: Eukaryota; Viridiplantae; Streptophyta; Magnoliopsida; Rosales; Rosaceae. The record is from RefSeq and is a predicted model, not a curated record.
CCUCACUGGACUGGACUGGAUUAAUAGUUAGUCCAGUCCCAUGUUUGUGAGCAAUGACUGCGUUUAAUGGAAUUAUCCGGGACUCGCGUCGACUAAAACCUUCUUCGGUAGAAGGUCUCAGCCAAGAACCCCCAGAACGGGCGGACUGCUAAUCCCGUCCUCUCCCUUGUCUUUCGCACCUUCGCCCUCUCGUCUUCUUCUUCCUCGCCUUCUCCUUCCUCGUCGCACCUUUGCCCUCUCGAUCGUCUUCAGCUCCCUUGUCGGUUUUCAGCCGCGUACUCUGCGUUCGCUACCAAAGGCCUCCUCAAGUGGGCGGAUUAGCACUGCGAGUGAAAUAUUGUCAUCUGUUUGGUUGCUCAGGGCCUCACCGUUAGCGGCUCCAACUCCACAUCCAGGCACCGGUCAAAUUCGAACUCCCACCAUCUCAUUGCAGCUCCAAAAAGGGCAGCAACGCCUUGCCCUGCAACUCCAGCUCCAUCACCGACCACCUUCUUCAGCCUCCACCAACUUGUUAAUCAGAAGUCGCCGUGUGACCCAUGCUUGACACACUGCUGCUUGCACUGGUGGCCCUUGUGCCAUGAGCACAUGGAGAUGAAGGGAUAAACCCCAAAGAUGUUGGGUUUAGUCACACUACAGUAUAGCACUGGUGAAUUGAAGCUGCGGCUCCACUGUUAUUAACAGCCGUUAGCGGCGAUUGUUAGUCGCUGGGAGAAGGUGAAAUCUAUUGCUGAGCUACCUCAACUCUCUUCAGAACACAAGGCAGCCAGCAA